RNAcentral lists this ribosomal RNA (408 nucleotides) under uncultured bacterium. Its description in RNAcentral is "partial 16S ribosomal RNA". It matches the Rfam family "Bacterial small subunit ribosomal RNA", at positions 28 to 526 of the family's 1533-position model. The record is from RNAcentral.
GACGAACGCUGGCGGCGUGCUUAACACAUGCAAGUCGAACGAAGUGGCGAACGGGUGAGUAACGCGUAAUCAACCUGCCCUUCCGAGGGGUAUAACAGUUGGCAACGACUGCUAAUACCGCAUACUCAAGGUGGGGAUUGCGUCUGAUUAGCUAGUUGGAGGGGUAACGGCCCACCAAGGCGAUGUUAAGUAGCCGGUCUGAGAGGGUGAACGGCCAAAUUGGGACUGAGACACGGCCCAGACUCCUACGGGAGGCAGGAGUGGGGAAUCUUCCGAAAUGGACGAAAGUCUGACGGAGCAACGCCGCGUGAGGGAUGACGGCUUUCGGGUUGUAAAGCUCUGUUAAUCGGGACGCGGUACCGAAAUAGAAAGCCACGGCUAACUACGUGCCAGCAGCCGCGGUAAUAC